RNAcentral lists this ribosomal RNA (493 nucleotides) under uncultured bacterium. Its description in RNAcentral is "bacterial SSU rRNA". It matches the Rfam family "Bacterial small subunit ribosomal RNA", at positions 1 to 525 of the family's 1533-position model. The record is from RNAcentral.
GGCCCGACAGAGUUUGAUCAUGGCUCAGGACGAACGCUGGCGGCGUGCCUAAUACAUGCAAGUCGAGCGAACCACUUCGGUGGUGAGCGGCGAACGGGUGAGUAACACGUAGGUGAUCUGCCCAUCAGACGGGGACAACGAUUGGAAACGAUCGCUAAUACCGGAUAGGACGAAAGUUUAAAGGUGCUUCUGGCACCGCUGAUGGAUGAGCCUGCGGCGCAUUAGCUAGUUGGUAGGGUAAAGGCCUACCAAGGCGACGAUGCGUAGCCGACCUGAGAGGGUGAACGGCCACACUGGGACUGAGACACGGCCCAGACUCCUACGGGAGGCAGCAGUAGGGAAUCUUCGGCAAUGGGCGAAAGCCUGACCGAGCAACGCCGCGUGAAUGAUGAAGGCCUUCGGGUUGUAAACCUCUUUCAGUAGGGAAGAAGCGAAAGUGACGGUACCUGCAGAAGAAGCGCCGGCUAACUACGUGCCAGCAGCCGCGGUAAUA